CCGGUCCUAACUCAGCCUGGCUAGAGUGCUCGGCUGUAGACCGAGAUGUCCGGAGUUCGAAUCUCCGGGACCGGACCA
This 78-nucleotide transfer RNA is filed under the name Promethearchaeati archaeon. RNAcentral describes it as "Asgard group archaeon (marine sediment metagenome) tRNA-Tyr". It matches the Rfam family "tRNA". From Rfam's summary of the family: Transfer RNA (tRNA) molecules are approximately 80 nucleotides in length. Their secondary structure includes four short double-helical elements and three loops (D, anti-codon, and T loops). Lineage: Archaea; Promethearchaeati. The record is from RNAcentral.